GAUGAACGCCGGCGGCGUGCUUAACACAUGCAAGUCGAACGAUGAAAGACGAGUUUGCUCUUCUGGUUCAGUGGAACACGGGUGUGUAACACGUGAAUACCCUGCCCAACACUCUGAUAUAACCGGUGGACACGGCCUAUAAUACCGGAUACGAGACCAAGCCACAUGCUACUGUCUGGAGAUUUUUCGGUUUUGGAUGGACUCGCGGCCUAUCAGCUUGUUGGUGAGGUAAUGGCCCACCAAGGCCACGACGGGUAGCCGGCCUGAGAGGGCGACCGGCCACACUGGGACUGAGACACGGCCCAGACUCCUACGGGAGGCAGCAGUGGGGAAUAUUGCACAAUGGGCGAAAGCCUGAUGCAGCGACGCCGCGUGAGGGAUGACGGCCUUCGGGUUGUAAACCUCUUUCAGCAGGGAAGAAGCGAAAGUGACGGUACCUGCAGAAGAAGCACCGGCUAACUACGUG
Molecule: ribosomal RNA, 466 nt
Filed under: uncultured bacterium
Lineage: Bacteria
Description: partial 16S ribosomal RNA
Rfam family: Bacterial small subunit ribosomal RNA
Source: RNAcentral